This 504-nucleotide ribosomal RNA is filed under the name Triticum aestivum (bread wheat). RNAcentral's name for it is "partial small subunit ribosomal RNA". Lineage: Eukaryota; Viridiplantae; Streptophyta; Magnoliopsida; Poales; Poaceae. The record is from RNAcentral.
AUGGCCAUUGCCGGCAGUGGGAGGGGCAAGGCGAAGCCCGCGGCCAGCGCCAAGUCCGUGUCCCGGUCGUCCAAGGCCGGCCUGCAGUUCCCCGUCGGCCGCGUCGCCCGGUACCUCAAGGUCGGCAAGUACGCGCAGCGCGUCGGCGCCGGCGCCCCCGUCUACCUCGCCGCCGUCCUCGAGUACCUCGCCGCAGAGGUACGCGUGCCCUCCCCGGCUGCUCCUUUCCCCAUGUCCUGUCACUCUGGAUCUCACCGCUUCUUUCUUUCUCUUCUGAUUCAGACCCUGGAGCUCGCCGGGAACGCGGCGCGGGACAACAAGAAGAACCGGAUCGUGCCGCGCCACAUCCAGCUGGCGGUGCGCAACGACGAGGAGCUGAGCCGGCUGCUGGGCUCGGUCACCAUCGCCGCCGGCGGGGUGCUGCCCAGCAUCCACACCACGCUGCUCCCCAAGAAGGCCGGCAAGGGCAAGGGCGACAUCGGCUCUGCUUCUCAGGAGUUCUAG